Molecule: ribosomal RNA, 497 nt
Filed under: uncultured bacterium
Lineage: Bacteria
Description: partial 16S ribosomal RNA
Rfam family: Bacterial small subunit ribosomal RNA
Source: RNAcentral
GACGAACGCUGGCGGCGUGCCUAAUACAUGCAAGUUGAGCGAUGAAGAUUGGUGCUUGCACCAAUUUGAAGAGCAGCGAACGGGUGAGUAACGCGUGGGGAAUCUGCCUUUGAGCGGGGGACAACAUUUGGAAACGAAUGCUAAUACCGCAUAACAACUUUAAACAUAAGUUUUAAGUUUGAAAGAUGCAAUUGCAUCACUCAAAGAUGAUCCCGCGUUGUAUUAGCUAGUUGGUGAGGUAAAGGCUCACCAAGGCGAUGAUACAUAGCCGACCUGAGAGGGUGAUCGGCCACAUUGGGACCGAGACACGGCCCAAACUCCUACGGGAGGCAGCAGUAGGGAAUCUUCGGCAAUAGACGAAAGUCUGACCGAGCAACGCCGCGUGAGUGAAGAAGGUUUUCGGAUCGUAAAACUCUGUUGGUAGAGAAGAACGUUGGUGAGAGUGGAAAGCUCAUCAAGUGACGGUAACUACCCAGAAAGGGACGGCUAACUACGUG